Molecule: ribosomal RNA, 468 nt
Filed under: uncultured bacterium
Lineage: Bacteria
Description: partial 16S ribosomal RNA
Rfam family: Bacterial small subunit ribosomal RNA
Source: RNAcentral
GACGAACGCUGGCGGCGUGCUUAACACAUGCAAGUCGAACGGUGAAGCGAGUGCUUGCACUCGUGGAUCAGUGGCGAACGGGUGAGUAACACGUGAGUAACCUGCCCAUCACUCUGGGAUAAGCACUGGAAACGGUGUCUAAUACUGGAUACGACCAACCCUUGCAUGGGGUGUUGGUGGAAAGAUUUAUCGGUGGUGGAUGGACUCGCGGCCUAUCAGCUUGUUGGCGGGGUAAUGGCCCACCAAGGCGACGACGGGUAGCCGGCCUGAGAGGGUGACCGGCCCAACGGGGCCGGGGGACCGGCCCGAACCCCAAGGGGGGGAAGCGGGGGGAAAAUUUGCCCAAGGGGGGAAGGCCGGAUGCAGGGCCCCCGGGGGGGGGAGGACGGCCUUGGGGUUUAAAACCCUUUUCAGCAGGGAAGAAGCGAAAGGGGCGGUACCGGCAAAAAAAGCACCGGCAACUUCCGU